Molecule: unclassified non-coding RNA, 1899 nt
Filed under: Leishmania donovani
Lineage: Eukaryota; Euglenozoa; Kinetoplastea; Trypanosomatida; Trypanosomatidae
Description: gene:LdHU3.15.0920(CDS-product:hypothetical_prote in_conserved)
Source: RNAcentral
CAUACUUUCUUUUCUCUCUCGAGCUCCACACAGAAACACGCACGCACAGUCAUGGCGGCCGUAUUCAUGCGCGUCGGUGAGCUGGCGUGUCAGAAAGACUCGUUCCUGCGAGAGUUGACGGCGACUGUUGUCUCGUGUGAGCCAGCCAAGACGGCAGUGGCAGCGGCGAAGAAGGCGAAGGGCGCCAGCAGCGACACCGUGACGUACGAUGUUAUUCUGAGCGACUCCGUUCUUUUUCCAGAAGGUGGUGGCCAGCCCUGCGACCACGGCACACUGCGAGUGGUGUCAGGCGAUAAUGACAAAGCCGAUCCCUCGUGUGGCGCCACCGCCGCGCCGCCGCUCUCCAUUACGAACGUGCGCCGGGUCGGGGACACAUGCGUGCUCACCAGUCCCGCCGCCCUCCCCGUGGGGGCUACGGUGCACCAGAUGGUGGACUGGCCGCGUCGGAUGGACCACAUGCAGCACCACACCGGCCAGCACCUGCUCACUGCCGUGGUAGAGCGCGAGGACACGCUGCGCUUGCCCACUGUGAGCUGGUCCCUGACGCACCCUUACUGUUUCAUCCAGGUGGACGUUGGCGGCUACGCAAGCGACCCAGCUUCGCCGUACCACGCUUACAUCACAAAGGAGAAGAAAAUAUCGGACGAAAUGGUGGCGAAGAUCGAGGUGCUCUGCAACGACGCGAUCGCCCAGAGCACCGCCGUGCAGUGCGACGUGUUCGAAAAUCGAGAGGUGUAUAUGCGGGAGCAGGAUCGCCGGCAUCAGACGGCUGCGGCCUCGGCAGACGGCGGCACGGAAGCCUUUCGAAGCCGCGGCAUCCCAGAGGACGUCACAGGGCCGAUCCGCAUCAUCUCGCUGGACGCCAUCGACAGCUGCACCUGCUGCGGCACCCACCUGCGCACACUAGCAGAGCUGCAGGCUAUGUACCUCCUCCACCAAGAGGUUAAAGGAACGCUAGUGAAGCUGUACUUCAUCACUGGCAAGCGGGCAGCGCGACAGUUCCACGCCAUGUAUCACCGGGAGCGGCAGUUGAUGCCGGAGUUGGGUGGCAGCAGACCCAACGACUUUGUCUCCGUGGUGCAGCGCCGUUCCAAGGAUGCGACGGACCUUGAGAAGCUGAUGAAGCGGUGGACACUGGAGCUAGCGAGUGUAGAAGCACAGCGCAUCGCCGCCGCCGUGCCGGCGUCGCACGCCGCUACCGUCACAGUGCCCCUGCGUCGCGACGACGUAGAUCUCGAGUUCUUCAACGAGGUCCGCGCACGGCUCGAUGCAGCAGGGCUGCGCCGCGUCGUUCUCGUUUCCGCGUGGGCGGCAGAGCGGUGCACGGCAGGCACGCUCGCCAGCGCGAAGGAUGUGGCGGGUCAGGUCUUCGUCACUGGGGGAGAGACGCCUGCGGACAUGGAGAAGGCCGUCCAGCUGGUGAAGGAAACGCUAGAGGGGAUGAAGGGGGGCACCUCCAAGCUGGGUUUCCGUGGGAAGGGCAGUCUGAAGGAGUGGGACACCCUCGUGGCGCGUCUGAAGGAGUAGCGAAGCGUGUAGAGAACGCGAAGGGUGAGGGGGGAACUACUGAGACGACGAGGGGCGGUGGGAGAGGUGAGCUUUAUGGUGUGUGAGUGUGUGCGCUCUCUGUAGUGUCAUCCCUUCCUCCUCGUCCGCUCUCUCCGCCCCACUAGUUGUACUUGGCAAAAUAAACAUACACACACACAUACACUACCUCCGCGUAUGCACGACGGUUGCGCUGUGGUGGCGACCCGCACAGACGCGCCGUCGUAAAGGGGGAAAGAAUGCCAGUGGAUGUCGCAGAUGUCCAUCAUUGCGCACGUGCACAUACGCAUGUGUGUAUGCGUGCGGUCAUGUCCACUCACCCUCAACGCUGUUGCGUCGUCAUUUGCAGCACAU